GCUAGUUAGCAGGCUGAGGUCUCUUUCGUUAACGGAAUUAACCAGAAAAAUUGCUCCACCAACUAAGAACGGCCAUGCACCACCACCCAUAGAAUCAAGAAAGAGCUCUCAGUCCGUCAAUCCUUACUAUGUCUGGACCUGGUAAGUUUUCCCGUGUUGAGUCAAAUUAAGCCGCAGGCUCCACUCCUGGUGAUGCCCUUCCGUCAAUUCCUUUUAGUUUCAGCCUUGCGACCAUACUCCCCCCAGAACCCAAAUGCUUUUAUUUCUCAUAAGGUGCUGGCGGAGUCUUAAAAGCAACAUUCGCCGAUCCCUGGUCGGCAUCGUUUAUGGUUGAGACUAGGACGGUAUCUGAUCGUCUUCGAGCCCCCAAAUUUCGUUCUUGAUUAAUGAAAACAUCCUUGGAAAAUGCUUUCGCAGUUGUUCUUCUUUCAUAAUUCCAUGAAUUUAACCUCUGACUAUGAAAUAUGAAUGCCCCCGUCUGUCCAUGUUAAUCAUUACUCCGAUUCCGAAGGCCAACGUAAUAGUACCGAAAUCCUAUAAUGUUAUCCCAUGCUAAUGUAUACAGAGCGUAGGCUUCCUUUGAGCACUCUAAUUUCUUCAAAGUAACAACGCUGGAGGCACGACCCGGCCAAUUAAGGCCAGGAGCACAUUACCGGAAGAAGGGACGAGACGACCGGUGCACACUAGAGGCGGACCGGCCGACCCAUCCCUAAGUCCAACUACGAGCUUUUUAACUGGAACAACUUAAAUGUACGCUAUUGGAGCUGGAAUUACCGCGGCUGCUGGCACCAGACUUGCCCUCCAAUGGAUCCUCGUUAAGGGAUAUAGAUUGUACUUAUUCCAAUUACCAGACUCAUAAAGCCCGGUAUUGUCACUACCUCCCCGUGUCAGGAUUGGUUAAUUUGCGGGCCUACUGCCUUCCUUGGAUGCGGUAGCCAUUUCUCAGGCUCCCUCUCCGAAAUCGAACCCUAAUUCUCCAUCACCCGUCACCACCAUGGUAGGUGUUAUGACCCCAAUAUUGACAUGAUGGAUGUCAGGCAUAAUUCAUGUUGAGGGCUUGUGCAUUGCCCCUUGACAUGGCUUCGUUGAAGCGUUGACAAUUUACAAGGCUGGGUGUGUGUUUAAGUUGGUGAUGGGCUUAGGCAAGGCAACUAGACAAGGCAGCUGGAGUGUUGGCAAUGCGGCCUUGGUUUGUGGGCAUCGACUAUGGCAAAUGGAAGCAUGGCACUUGACAAAGGCAUGCACGGAUCUGUGGGACGACUUAAUUUAUAGAAAGGCGUGGCUAUGAAAUUUAGGGCGAGGCAAGGUCCAAGGCAAAGCCGGGCAAAGGUAUGCGCGGAUAAGUGGGACGACUUGAUUCAUAGCAGGGCGUGGCUAUGAAAUUAAGAGCGAGGCAAGGUCCAAGGUAAAGCGGGGCAAAGGCAUGCGCGGAUUGGUGGGACGACUUAAUUCAUAGCAGGGCGUGGCAAUGGAAUUAAGGUCGAGGCAAGGUCCAAGGCAAAGCUGGGCUAGAGACAAGGUAAACGUGGGCAAGGCUAGAGGCCAUCGUGCAUGGCAUGUGAUGGAGUGGUUGGAAGGACAUGUGCUUGAAGUUGAAGACAUGAUCUAAGAACAUGGGCGGUUGGCUACAAAGUGGAAGAAAUGGUAGCUACUGCCCUAAACCACCUAAGGCAUGUGCAUGGCACAUGGUAGAAACUGCCCCUUUGUAACUGUCCCUUUGUAACUUCCUUUGGAAGCCCGUUUAUAUAGAUUGCAUCUCCGUCUGUGGAGAAGGCAGGUAGCAUUACAUAUGUGAGCCAAGUCUAAAUAGUGUGUCCUUUAUAUAUUAUGCGAGAAUUAAUAAAGGUUGUGGUUUACCCGAAAAUUCUGUGUGUGUUCUUAGUUUAGCUAAAGUCUGAAAAUCCUAAGUCAGACUCUGUGUGUGUGUGCGAAAAGUUAAGGUUGAAGUGGUUGUGAGCUGCUGCCGUGCAGUGUCUAUUUUUGCGAAAAAUUGACCCUGUAACAAUUGGUAUCAGAGCUUUUUGGUUGUAACUCUUGAUCAUGGCAGGUGGGUCUACUUCAGACUUACGUGAUAGAGUGCAACGGUUGGAGGUGCUAAUCGGCGAGACCGAUGAUCCUUUGGAUAUGGAAGAUCUUAUUACAGAGAUUUACCGUCUAAAGGAUGGGGCAGAUCAAUUUUGCGAUGGGAUCCAACAAAGUUGUUAAUCAACGGAUUGCGUAGUUGAAGACCUGAAGUAGGAGGUCGACAACUUGAUGGCCAAAAUCACUGUUCUUCGACGGGCGUCGGCUGCUCCAAGCCAAGGCAAUGAAGAACGCUUGAAGGUAAAGAUUUCGGACCCAAAGGCGUUUGAUGGAAUGCGUAGUGCAUAAGAAUUGGAGAACUUUCUAUGGGACAUGGAACAAUAUUUUGUUGCUGCCAAAGUUCCAAAUGAGGAGAAGGUCACAAUUACAAGCAUGUACCUAAUGGGAGAUACUAAAUUGUUGUGGAGACCUCGUAUGGUGGACGAUGAAAGUGCCGGCAGACCGAAAAUUGAUACAUGGGAGAAGCUCAGAAAAGAAAUGAAGGACCAAUUCUUGCCUAGCAAUGAUUCUUGGCUUGCUAGAGACCAUUUGAAACGCUUGCGACAAACGAGAUCUAUUCGGGAUUAAUUUAAGGAAUUCUCUUCCUUAAUGUUUGAUGUUCAAAACAUGUCGGAGGACAACAAAUUGCAUAACUUUAUUUCAGGAAUGCAAGCAUGGGCGCAGAAUGAACUUAGGAGACAAACUGCAAAGGAUCUCCCAAGUGCAAUGGCUGCAGCGAAUUCUUUGGUGGACUAUCGCAGCACCCGUACUCUUUCGGAUAUUCCUCCUACUUCAAAAUCUAACAAACGGGUGGAGAAGAAAGGGGAAUGGAGGAAGGAAGUUCGAGAGGAAGUCAUUGAGAAGGGCAAGGUUGUCGAUGGGGCUGUUCAAAACAAAGGCAUCGCAAACAGGAAAACUGAUGGUUGCUGGACGUGCGGAGGACCUCAUCUUGCCAAAGACUGUCCAAAUCGUGAGCGGGUAAAUGCUUUUCUUGCUACAGAAAAUAAUUGUCGCAAACAAGAAAACUGAUGGCUGCUGAACGUGUGGAGGACCUCAUCUUGCCAGACACUGUCCAAAUCGUGAGCGGGUAAAUGCUUUGCUUGCUACAGAAAUUAGUUGGGAUGGAGAAGGUGAAGAAAUUGUUGCUGCCUUGGUUAAUCCUUUACAAUUGUUGAAUGUUAUCUCGUUGCUAAAUACUACAAGUAACGAGACGAACCCUUAUUCUUUGCUGAUGCACAUCGAGAUGAGAAUUGGGGACAGAAGUGUGAUAGCUAUGGUAGAUACUGGCGCUACUCACACCCUUAUUUCUGCCAGUUUGGUGCAUAAGUAUCGAUUGAGAGUGUCGAAAUAAUAGCAAUGGUAGAUACUGGCGCUACUCACACCCUUAUUUCUUCCAGUUUGGUGCAUAAGUAUCGAUUGAGAGUGUCGAAAUGUCACUCUUACAUAAUGACUGGGAACACCAAAGCACAAGCCCUUGUGGGUAUAGCUUAUGAUGUUCCUAUGUCUGUUGGGAACUGGAAAGGGAAGGUCAAUUUGAUGGUGAAUCCAAUGGAAGAGUUUGAGGUGAUCCUCGGAAUUGACUUCAUGCGGAAACAUCACUUUGUUCCAAUGCCUCACUUGAACGGAGUGAUGAUCAUGAAUGAUAUGGCUCCUAGUUUCGUGAAAGCUGUUUAUCCUUAUGGAGGAGAAGAAAUUCAAAGUAAGGCUUUGUUAAAUUCUGCCAUGAUGGUUGGAAAUGGUUUGAGGAAGGGAGGUGAGACUUUUCUUGCUGCCGGGGUUGAAGUGAAGCCUGAUGUUAAAGUUGAAGUGCCGGACUGCGAUGCUCAAAGUUUGAGUGACUUUGUUGAUGUGAUACCACUAGAUUUGCCUAAAAAUCUGCCACCACAAAGGACUAUUGAUCACAAGAUAGAGUUGAUGUCGGGUUCGAUGCUUCCUACUCAACCUCAUAGGGGGUUGAACAAGGUGAAGGUGGAAAAAAACUAUCCUGUUCCGUUGGUGCAAGAGUUGAUGGACAGAUUGAGUAAGACAUGCUGGUUCAUGAAGCUUGAUAUACGGUCGGGUUAUUGGCAGGUACGGAUAGCGGAAGGUGAUGAGUCUAAAACUACUUCUGUUACGAGGUAUGGCUCAUAUGAAUUCCUUGUUAUGCCGUUCAGUUGGAUAGAUGCCCCUGCUACAUUUUGCAACCUCAUGAAUGACGGCCUGUAUGAGUACAUAGAUGAAUUUGUCGUUGUCUAAUUAGACGACAUUAUUGUCUAUAGUCUAAAUUUGGAUGAACAUAUGUCACACUUGAUAAAACUGCUGUUUCGGUUGAGGGAGUACAAGCUGUAUGAGAAUCUAAUUAGACGACAUUGUUGUCUAUAGUCGAAAUUUGGAUGAAUAUAUGUCACACUUGAUAAAAGUGCUGUCUUGGUUGAGGGAGUACAAGCUGUAUGAGAAGUGUGAAUUUUCUAGACAGGAGAUAAAAUUUCAUGGGCACUUGGUGAGCCAAAAUCACGUGGGGAUGGACCCGAAGAAGGUGCAGGUCAUUGCGGAAUGGCAGGUACCGAAAGUUGUCAAAGAAUUGAGAUCUUUCCUUGGGUUGGAUAAUUAUUAUCAGAAAUUCAUUGCUGGUUACUCAAAGAAAUCUGUUCCUUUGAUGGAUGUGUUGAAGAAGAACGUCAAAGGGAAUUGGUCGGAAAAAUUCUGGGCUGCAUUUGGUGUGUUGAAAGAAUCCAUUGCCUCAGAACCAAUCGUGCGGCUUGUUGAGUUUGAGUUACUAUUUGAAGUGCAUACAGAUACGUCUGACAAGGCUGUUAGAGGCGUGCUAGUUCAAGAAGGUCAUCCUGUGGCCUUUGAAAUAAGAAAGUUGAAUGAAGCAGAACAAAGGUAUUCGUCUCAUGAGGAGGAAGUCUUUGUUGCUAGUUUUUCCCUUAUGGGACUUGAGUCAGAUUUUGUUGAUAAAUUCAAGUCAGAUGCUAUAAAUGAUCCAUUGUACAUAAACACAAUGAAUCAUACGAAGGAAGGUACUGUGCGACGGUACUGGAUCAAGGGCAACGAGGUCUUACUGGAUAGAACCUUGGUUGCGAGAUAUGGUGGUCCGUUCGAAGAGCAAAUUGAGGGCUACUUGAGAUUAACCUCGACGAGGGCGUCGAGUUCAAUUGGUGGGGGUGGUUUGUUACGACCCCUAAUAUUGACAUGACGGAUGUCGGGCAGAAUUCAUGUUGAGGGAUUGUGCAUUGCCCCUUGACAUGGCUUCGUUGAAGCGCUGGGCAGAAUUCAUGUUGAGGGCUUGUGCAUUGCCCUUGACAUGGCUUCAUUAAAGCAUUGACAAGCAAUGUACAAGGCUGGAGUGUUGGCAAGGCGGCCUUGGUUCGUGGGCAUUGGCUAUGGCAAAUGGAAGCAUGGCACUUGACAAAAGCAUGCGCGGAUCUGUGGGACGACUUAAUUUAUAGCAAGGCGUGGCUAUGAAAUUGAUGGCGAGGCAAGGUCCAAGGCAAAGCCGGACAAAGGUAUGCGUGGAUUAGUGGGACGACUUGAUUAAUAGCAGGGCGUGGCUAUGAAAUUAAGGGCGAAGCAAGGUCCAAGGCAAAGUGGGGCAAAGGCAUGCGCGGAUCGGUGGGACGACUUAAUUCAUAGCAGGGCGUGGCUAUGGAAUUAAGGGUGAGGCAAGGUCCAAGGCAAAGCUGGGCUAGAGACAAGGAAAACGUGGGCAAUGCUAGAGGCCAUCCUGCAUGACAUGUGAUGGAGAGGUGGGAAUUACAUGUGCUGAAAAUUGAAGGCAUGAUCUAAGAAAAUGGGCGGUUGGCUACAAAGUGGAAGACAUGGUAGUAACUGUUCGAAACCACCUAAGGCAUGUGCAUGGCACAUGGUGGAAACUGCCCCUCUAUAACUGUACCUUUGUAGCUGCCUUAGGCAGCCCCUUCAUAUAGAUUGCAUCUCCGUCUGUGGAGAAGGCAAGUAGCAUUACAUAUGUGAGCCAAGUCUAAAAAGUGCGUCCUUUAUAUAUUAUGCGAGAAUUAAUAAAGGUUGUGUUUUACCCGUAAAUUCUGUGUGUGUUCUUAGUUUGGCUAAAGUCCGAAAAUCCUAAGUCAGGCUGUGUGUGUGUGUGUGCGAAAAGUGAAGGCUGAAGUGGCUGUGAGCUGCUGCCGUGCAGUUGACUGUGUGUGUAGGAAAAGUGAAGGCUGAAGUGGCUGUGAGCUGCAGCCAUUCAGUGUUUAUUUUUGCGAAAAAUUGACGCUGUAGCAGUAGGCCACUAUCCUACCAUCGAAAGUUGAUAGGGCAGAAAUUUGAAUGAUGCGUCGCCGGCACGAUGGCCGUGCGAUCCGCCGAGUUAUCAUGAAUCAUCGCAGCAACGGGCAGAGCCCGCGUCGACCUUUUAUCUAAUAAAUGCAUCCCUUCCAGAAUU
RNAcentral lists this long non-coding RNA (6445 nucleotides) under Nicotiana benthamiana. RNAcentral's name for it is "long non-coding RNA (NBEN_LNC007032)". Lineage: Eukaryota; Viridiplantae; Streptophyta; Magnoliopsida; Solanales; Solanaceae. The record is from RNAcentral.